This 253-nucleotide ribosomal RNA is filed under the name uncultured bacterium. RNAcentral describes it as "partial 16S ribosomal RNA". It matches the Rfam family "Bacterial small subunit ribosomal RNA", at positions 524 to 776 of the family's 1533-position model. The record is from RNAcentral.
UACGUAGGGGGCAAGCGUUGUCCGGAUUUACUGGGCGUAAAGGGCGUGUAGGCGGCCAACUAAGUCCGACGUGAAAUCCCCAGGCUUAACCUGGGAACUGCGUCGGAUACUGGAUGGCUUGAAUCCGGGAGAGGGAUGCGGAAUUCCAGGUGUAGCGGUGAAAUGCGUAGAUAUCUGGAGGAACACCGGUGGCGAAGGCGGGUCUCUGGGCCGAUACUGACGCUGAGGAGCGAAAGCGUGGGGAGCGAACAGG